GGUUAAGCGACUAAGCGUACACGGUGGAUGCCCUGGCAGUCAGAGGCGAUGAAGGACGUGCUAAUCUGCGAUAAGCGUCGGUGAGGUGAUAUGAACCGUUAUAACCGGCGAUUUCCGAAUGGGGAAACCCAGUGUGUUUCGACACACUAUCAUUAACUGAAUCCAUAGGUUAAUGAGGCGAACCGGGGGAACUGAAACAUCUAAGUACCCCGAGGAAAAGAAAUCAACCGAGAUUCCCCCAGUAGCGGCGAGCGAACGGGGAGGAGCCCAGAGCCUGAAUCAGUGUGUGUGUUAGUGGAAGCGUCUGGAAAGGCGCGCGAUACAGGGUGACAGCCCCGUACACAAAAAUGCACAUGCUGUGAGCUCGAUGAGUAGGGCGGGACACGUGGUAUCCUGUCUGAAUAUGGGGGGACCAUCCUCCAAGGCUAAAUACUCCUGACUGACCGAUAGUGAACCAGUACCGUGAGGGAAAGGCGAAAAGAACCCCGGCGAGGGGAGUGAAAAAGAACCUGAAACCGUGUACGUACAAGCAGUGGGAGCCUCUUAAUGGGGUGACUGCGUACCUUUUGUAUAAUGGGUCAGCGACUUAUAUUCUGUAGCAAGGUUAACCGAAUAGGGGAGCCGAAGGGAAACCGAGUCUUAACUGGGCGUUAAGUUGCAGGGUAUAGACCCGAAACCCGGUGAUCUAGCCAUGGGCAGGUUGAAGGUUGGGUAACACUAACUGGAGGACCGAACCGACUAAUGUUGAAAAAUUAGCGGAUGACUUGUGGCUGGGGGUGAAAGGCCAAUCAAACCGGGAGAUAGCUGGUUCUCCCCGAAAGCUAUUUAGGUAGCGCCUCGUGAAUUCAUCUCCGGGGGUAGAGCACUGUUUCGGCAAGGGGGUCAUCCCGACUUACCAACCCGAUGCAAACUGCGAAUACCGGAGAAUGUUAUCACGGGAGACACACGGCGGGUGCUAACGUCCGUCGUGAAGAGGGAAACAACCCAGACCGCCAGCUAAGGUCCCAAAGUCAUGGUUAAGUGGGAAACGAUGUGGGAAGGCCCAGACAGCCAGGAUGUUGGCUUAGAAGCAGCCAUCAUUUAAAGAAAGCGUAAUAGCUCACUGGUCGAGUCGGCCUGCGCGGAAGAUGUAACGGGGCUAAACCAUGCACCGAAGCUGCGGCAGCGACACUAUGUGUUGUUGGGUAGGGGAGCGUUCUGUAAGCCUGUGAAGGUGGCCUGUGAGGGUUGCUGGAGGUAUCAGAAGUGCGAAUGCUGACAUAAGUAACGAUAAAGCGGGUGAAAAGCCCGCUCGCCGGAAGACCAAGGGUUCCUGUCCAACGUUAAUCGGGGCAGGGUGAGUCGACCCCUAAGGCGAGGCCGAAAGGCGUAGUCGAUGGGAAACAGGUUAAUAUUCCUGUACUUGGUGUUACUGCGAAGGGGGGACGGAGAAGGCUAUGUUGGCCGGGCGACGGUUGUCCCGGUUUAAGCGUGUAGGCUGGUUUUCCAGGCAAAUCCGGAAAACCAAGGCUGAGGCGUGAUGACGAGGCACUACGGUGCUGAAGCGACAAAUGCCCUGCUUCCAGGAAAAGCCUCUAAGCAUCAGGUAACAUCAAAUCGUACCCCAAACCGACACAGGUGGUCAGGUAGAGAAUACCAAGGCGCUUGAGAGAACUCGGGUGAAGGAACUAGGCAAAAUGGUGCCGUAACUUCGGGAGAAGGCACGCUGAUAUGUAGGUGAAGCGACUUGCUCGUGGAGCUGAAAUCAGUCGAAGAUACCAGCUGGCUGCAACUGUUUAUUAAAAACACAGCACUGUGCAAACACGAAAGUGGACGUAUACGGUGUGACGCCUGCCCGGUGCCGGAAGGUUAAUUGAUGGGGUUAGCGGCAACGCGAAGCUCUUGAUCGAAGCCCCGGUAAACGGCGGCCGUAACUAUAACGGUCCUAAGGUAGCGAAAUUCCUUGUCGGGUAAGUUCCGACCUGCACGAAUGGCGUAAUGAUGGCCAGGCUGUCUCCACCCGAGACUCAGUGAAAUUGAACUCGCUGUGAAGAUGCAGUGUACCCGCGGCAAGACGGAAAGACCCCGUGAACCUUUACUAUAGCUUGACACUGAACAUUGAGCCUUGAUGUGUAGGAUAGGUGGGAGGCUUUGAAGUGUGGACGCCAGUCUGCAUGGAGCCGACCUUGAAAUACCACCCUUUAAUGUUUGAUGUUCUAACGUUGGCCCGUAAUCCGGGUUGCGGACAGUGUCUGGUGGGUAGUUUGACUGGGGCGGUCUCCUCCUAAAGAGUAACGGAGGAGCACGAAGGUUGGCUAAUCCUGGUCGGACAUCAGGAGGUUAGUGCAAUGGCAUAAGCCAGCUUGACUGCGAGCGUGACGGCGCGAGCAGGUGCGAAAGCAGGUCAUAGUGAUCCGGUGGUUCUGAAUGGAAGGGCCAUCGCUCAACGGAUAAAAGGUACUCCGGGGAUAACAGGCUGAUACCGCCCAAGAGUUCAUAUCGACGGCGGUGUUUGGCACCUCGAUGUCGGCUCAUCACAUCCUGGGGCUGAAGUAGGUCCCAAGGGUAUGGCUGUUCGCCAUUUAAAGUGGUACGCGAGCUGGGUUUAGAACGUCGUGAGACAGUUCGGUCCCUAUCUGCCGUGGGCGCUGGAGAACUGAGGGGGGCUGCUCCUAGUACGAGAGGACCGGAGUGGACGCAUCACUGGUGUUCGGGUUGUCAUGCCAAUGGCACUGCCCGGUAGCUAAAUGCGGAAGAGAUAAGUGCUGAAAGCAUCUAAGCACGAAACUUGCCCCGAGAUGAGUUCUCCCUGAGACUUAGAGUCUCCUGAAGGAACGUUGAAGACGACGACGUUGAUAGGCCGGGUGUGUAAGCGCAGCGAUGCGUUGAGCUAACCGGUACUAAUGAAC
This 2888-nucleotide ribosomal RNA is filed under the name Escherichia coli. Its description in RNAcentral is "partial 23S ribosomal RNA". It matches the Rfam family "Bacterial large subunit ribosomal RNA". The record is from RNAcentral. Lineage: Bacteria; Pseudomonadati; Pseudomonadota; Gammaproteobacteria; Enterobacterales; Enterobacteriaceae.